RNAcentral lists this transfer RNA (78 nucleotides) under Meiothermus ruber. RNAcentral's name for it is "tRNA-Arg". It matches the Rfam family "tRNA". Rfam says of the family: Transfer RNA (tRNA) molecules are approximately 80 nucleotides in length. Their secondary structure includes four short double-helical elements and three loops (D, anti-codon, and T loops). Further hydrogen bonds mediate the characteristic L-shaped molecular structure. tRNAs have two regions of fundamental functional importance: the anti-codon, which is responsible for specific mRNA codon recognition, and the 3' end, to which the tRNAs corresponding amino acid is attached (by aminoacyl-tRNA synthetases). tRNAs cope with the degeneracy of the genetic code in two manners: having more than one tRNA (with a specific anti-codon) for a particular amino acid; and 'wobble' base-pairing, i.e. permitting non-standard base-pairing at the 3rd anti-codon position. Lineage: Bacteria; Thermotogati; Deinococcota; Deinococci; Thermales; Thermaceae. The record is from RNAcentral. RNAcentral also lists the same sequence under 7 other names.
GCGCUCGUAGCUCAGUAUGGAUAGAGCAAAGGUUUCCUAAACCUUAGGUCGCAGGUUCGAGUCCUGCCGGGCGCACCA